Molecule: unclassified non-coding RNA, 353 nt
Filed under: Hevea brasiliensis (rubber tree)
Lineage: Eukaryota; Viridiplantae; Streptophyta; Magnoliopsida; Malpighiales; Euphorbiaceae
Source: RNAcentral
UAAUGACCCAGAUAGAAAUCAUAUCGGGAUUGAUCUUAACAGCAUUGAAUCUAUUGUUACCCAAACGGCUGGGUAUUAUAGUUCUUCUGGUAAUGAUAGUGAUUCUUUUGUGCCUUUAAAUUUGCGGUCUGGGCAAAAUAUACAUGCUUGGAUUGAUUUUAAUGGACCUGAAUUUGAGAUUAAUGUUACUAUAGCUCCGGCGGGUAUGUCACGGCCUGCUAGGACUUUGUUGAGUUAUAGAAACCCCAUAAUUGCGAAUUACAUGUCUGCCCAGAUGUAUAUGGGGUUCUCUGCUUCAAAGACUCAAUGGGUUGAGGCGCAAAGACUUCUAGCUUGGAGUUUCAGUGAUUCUG